GUUUUCUGGCUGAAGUCAUAAGGAAGUAGAAAUACAAAACAAUGGCCAUGAAGGAAUCCUGACUGUACAAGGGCCAAGCUGAACACUGAAUAGCAAAAAAAAAAAAAAAAGUAGUCUUGUGAAUGGACAUACUACAUCGGAAGGCCUAAAGGGUGGGACUGUUUGGAGAGAGCAGCAUUUGGCAUUUAAUUUUGUGUCUGUGGAGCGCUUCUAGUCCUGAGCUGAGACUACAUUGCAAUGGACAAUUGGAUGACUCCAUCAAUCCAACUAGUGUCAAGUGGAUGAGACAAAACAAGAAGGCAAAAGUACCACUUGCAAACAGAUCUUGAACUUUUUUAAAAGAUUAAAUCUGACCUUUUUACAUGUG
Molecule: long non-coding RNA, 367 nt
Organism: Lemur catta (Ring-tailed lemur)
Lineage: Eukaryota; Metazoa; Chordata; Mammalia; Primates; Lemuridae
Exons: 2
Source: RefSeq, a predicted model, not a curated record